ACAACUGUUUGUAUAUUUUUUAUAUAAAUAAUUUUAUACAGUUUUCUAUAAACAUAUCGAAUAACAGAUAUAUACUUAUAAAAUUUAAAUUUUUAAAUUUAUCCAUCAAAAAUUUCUAACAAUUUGAGGUAUAUUUCUAUUGUUAACAUCCGUUAGAAAAAUAUAGUUAACUAUAGAUAAAAUAUUUAAUCUUGCUUAGUGAGUAAGAUAAAGUGAUUUUUUUAUCCAUAUAAUAUUAUACCUUCCUUUUCAAUGAAAACCCUAGCUUGAUCAAAAACCUAGAAAUAAAAACUCUUCUCCUCUUCCUCUUCCUCUUCUUCUCUCUUCUUCAUACUAGUUUCAAAUCCAUAAUUAGGGUUUCUCCAUCCUUAUUAAUCCAUACUUUGUCUAUGUCGAGCACCAGAAAAUUAGUUAAAUGAGAGAAGAGGUUGCAACAAUAAUGAAUCUAAUUAGUUUUUCUAGAGAAAAAAAAAUAACCAUUGGAAAGUUGAGACUUUCGGAGGGACGUAUUUGUAAAAUUAAUAUUUCACUAAUCUUUAAUUAAAAAAUAAGCAUUGAAUUAACGAUAAAAAUCAGAGAGGCGAAUACGAACAUCAUUGAACUUUUGAAAGAAUAAAUAAAAAAAUUUAAAUUUUAUAAAAAUAUAUCUUCUAUUCGAUAUGUUUACAAGAAACUGUUUCAUAAUAUAAAUUUACUAAUUAAUUAGCAUGCGUUAAAGGAAGAAGAAAAAAAAGAAGAUAUG
Molecule: long non-coding RNA, 742 nt
Filed under: Ananas comosus (pineapple)
Lineage: Eukaryota; Viridiplantae; Streptophyta; Magnoliopsida; Poales; Bromeliaceae
Description: long non-coding RNA (ACOM_LNC014075)
Source: RNAcentral